AGAGUUUGAUCCUGGCUCAGGACGAACGCUGGCGGCACGCUUAACACAUGCAAGUCGAACGAGAGAAGAGGAGCUUGCUUUUCUGAUCUAGUGGCGGACGGGUGAGUAACACGUGAGCAAUCUGCCUUUCAGAGGGGGAUACCGAUUGGAAACGAUCGUUAAUACCGCAUAACAUAAUUGAACCGCAUGAUUUGAUUAUCAAAGAUUUAUCGCUGAAAGAUGAGCUCGCGUCUGAUUAGCUAGUUGGUAAGGUAACGGCUUACCAAGGCGACGAUCAGUAGCCGGACUGAGAGGUUGAUCGGCCACAUUGGGACUGAGACACGGCCCAGACUCCUACGGGAGGCAGCAGUGGGGAAUAUUGCACAAUGGAGGAAACUCUGAUGCAGCGAUGCCGCGUGAGGGAAGAAGGUUUUAGGAUUGUAAACCUCUGUCUUCAGGGACGAAAAAAGACGGUACCUGAGGAGGAAGCUCCGGCUAACUACGUGCCAGCAGCCGCGGUAAUACGGAGGGAGCGAGCGUUGUCCGGAAUUACUGGGUGUAAAGGGAGCGUAGGCGGGAUCGCAAGUCAGAUGUGAAAACUAUGGGCUUAACCCAUAAACUGCAUUUGAAACUGUGGUUCUUGAGUGAAGUAGAGGUAAGCGGAAUUCCUAGUGUAGCGGUGAAAUGCGUAGAUAUUAGGAGGAACAUCAGUGGCGAAGGCGGCUUACUGGGCUUUAACUGACGCUGAGGCUCGAAAGCGUGGGGAGCAAACAGGAUUAGAUACCCUGGUAGUCCACGCCGUAAACGAUGAUUACUAGGUGUGGGGGGACUGACCCCUUCCGUGCCGCAGCAAACGCAAUAAGUAAUCCACCUGGGGAGUACGACCGCAAGGUUGAAACUCAAAGGAAUUGACGGGGGCCCGCACAAGCAGUGGAGUAUGUGGAUUAAUUCGAAGCAACGCGAAGAACCUUACCAGGUCUUGACAUCGUAUGCAUAGCUCAGAGAUGAGUGAAAUCUCUUCGGAGACAUAUAGACAGGUGGUGCAUGGUUGUCGUCAGCUCGUGUCGUGAGAUGUUGGGUUAAGUCCCGCAACGAGCGCAACCCUUACUGUUAGUUGCUACGCAAGAGCACUCUAGCAGGACUGCCGUUGACAAAACGGAGGAAGGUGGGGAUGACGUCAAAUCAUCAUGCCCCUUAUGACCUGGGCCUCACACGUACUACAAUGGCUGUCAACAGAGGGAAGCAAAGCCGCGAGGUGGAGCGAACCCCUAAAAGCAGUCUUAGUUCGGAUUGUAGGCUGCAACCCGCCUACAUGAAGUCGGAAUUGCUAGUAAUCGCAGAUCAGCAUGCUGCGGUGAAUACGUUCCCGGGCCUUGUACACACCGCCCGUCACGCCAUGGGAGUCGGUAACACCCGAAGCCUGUAGUCUAACCGCAAGGAGGACGCAGUCGAAGGUGGGAUUGAUGACUGGGGUGAAGUCGUAACAAGGUA
This 1470-nucleotide ribosomal RNA is filed under the name metagenome. Its description in RNAcentral is "bacterial SSU rRNA". It matches the Rfam family "Bacterial small subunit ribosomal RNA". The record is from RNAcentral.